GGAAGGCAUUAUUACUGAAAUAAGAAUACAGCAUGGAACAAAGCAGAUUGGUUUCAUGGCUGUUAUGUUCACUUUUUCUGUUGAUGAUGGAGAUUUUUGCUACUGUUCUUUCUCCUUCUGGCAUAAACUAUGAAGUUCUAGCUUUGAUGGCGAUAAAGAAUGAAUUGAAUGAUCCUCACAGUGUCUUGGAGUAUUGGGAUAGUAAUUCUGUUGAUCCUUGCAGCUGAAGGAUGAUUACUUGUAACCUUGAUGGCUCUGUUUCAGUAUUGGGAAUGCCUAGUCAGAACUUGUCUGGUACUCUAUCUCCUUGAGUUGGAAACCUUACUAACUUACAAUCUGUGUUGCUUCAGAACAAUGCAAUUUCCGGUCAGAUUCCUACAGCAAUUGGAAGCCUAGAAAAGCUUCAGACACUUGAUCUCUCC
Arachis stenosperma is the source of this 422-nucleotide long non-coding RNA. RefSeq lists it as uncharacterized. Lineage: Eukaryota; Viridiplantae; Streptophyta; Magnoliopsida; Fabales; Fabaceae. The record is from RefSeq and is a predicted model, not a curated record. The transcript is spliced from 4 exons.